This 114-nucleotide ribosomal RNA is filed under the name Acanthosepion pharaonis. The record is from RNAcentral. Lineage: Eukaryota; Metazoa; Mollusca; Cephalopoda; Sepiida; Sepiidae.
UUACGGUCAAAUCACGCUGAAAACACCGGUUCUUGUUCGAUCACCGAAGUUAAGCAUCGUAGAGCCAGGUCAGUACUUAGAUGGGGGACCGCUUGAGAACACUGGUACUGUAAG